AACGGAGAGUUUGAUCCUGGCUCAGGAUGAACGCUGGCGGCGUGCCUAACACAUGCAAGUCGAACGAUUAAGGCGCCUUCGGGCGCGAAUAGAGUGGCGAACGGGUGAGUAACACGUGACCAACCUGCCCCCCUCCCCGGGAUAACGCGAGGAAACCCGCGCUAAUACCGGAUACUCCGCCCCUCCCGCAUGGGAGGGGCGGGAAAGCCCCGACGGAGGGGGAUGGGGUCGCGGCCCAUUAGGUAGACGGCGGGGCAACGGCCCACCGUGCCUGCGAUGGGUAGCCGGGUUGAGAGACCGACCGGCCACAUUGGGACUGAGAUACGGCCCAGACUCCUACGGGAGGCAGCAGUGGGGAAUUUUGCGCAAUGGGGGGAACCCUGACGCAGCAACGCCGCGUGCGGGACGAAGGCCUUCGGGUUGUAAACCGCUUUCAGCAGGGAAGAAGUUGACGGUACCUGCAGAAGAAGCCCCGGCUAACUACGUGCCAGCAGCCGCGGUAAUACGUAGGGGGCGAGCGUUAUCCGGAUUCAUUGGGCGUAAAGCGCGCGUAGGCGGGCUUCUAAGCGGAACCUCUAACCCGAGGGCUCAACCCCCGGCCGGGUUCCGAACUGGAAGCCUCGAGUCUGGUAGAGGAAGAUGGAAUUCCCGGUGUAGCGGUGGAAUGCGCAGAUAUCGGGAAGAACACCGAUGGCGAAGGCAGUCUUCUGGGCCGCGACUGACGCUGAGGCGCGAAAGCUGGGGGA
RNAcentral lists this ribosomal RNA (746 nucleotides) under Gordonibacter urolithinfaciens. Its description in RNAcentral is "bacterial SSU rRNA". It matches the Rfam family "Bacterial small subunit ribosomal RNA", at positions 1 to 767 of the family's 1533-position model. The record is from RNAcentral. Lineage: Bacteria; Bacillati; Actinomycetota; Coriobacteriia; Eggerthellales; Eggerthellaceae.